CGAUUCUGCCACGCCCAGCGCGCGCAUUCUCCAACAAAAUACACAUGAAAUGGAUGCACAGAGAAUCGAGUCGAGCCGGCGUCGCUUGUAGCUCGCGCGGUUCAGUCACGCACGUCACAUCAGUCAGUCGAGUAGCGAUCUCGAUAGCCUGCGAACCGUACGCACGGCGCACACGUGCCCUCGCGCCCGUCCCUUAUCCACAUCCACACCGCCGCACUCCGCGCGACCAUCGCUCUCGGUGCCGAUCCGACCGGUGCCUCGCUCGCUUUUGACCUAUUAUGUAAUACGAAAAUAAACACCGCGCCUUUAACAGCGAGCACGUGUGCGCACCGGCUGCUGUACAUCGCCGUCCACAUCCGACCACCAACAAAUUCAUCUCCAUAACCUAAGAAAACGCGAUCCUUCAUCUUCAAUUUGUGUAGCUCCAGUUGCGUCUACUUUGGAAAUAUAUUUUCAAUCAUUCUCAAAUUGAGAUCGAUAUUUGCUUUGUCGGUGCCAUCAUUUCUUUAUAAUUAAUUCAAAGGUGAUCAAGUGUUGUAGUGGAUUGUUGUUAGUUAUCUAAUAUCAAUCUUUGCAAAAUGUCUAACUCAAUGGAACAGCAAUUUGGCGAACUGAGCCUCUCACAGGAGGAUCAUGACCAAAUAUUUGAACAGGAGGAUCACCAGGAUCAAAGCCGAUCAAGGAUUCUCAUCAGUGGGCUCCCCCUGCAUGCUCGCUUCGACACCAUCGAGCCCCUGCUCUCACAGUAUGGCAACGUGCAACAUUGCGACAAAGCGAACUCACGCGAUGCCAACACCCAAGCGGUGUACAUCACAUUCGAGACCCCGGAGCAAGCGCAGCAGGCCAUCAACGGACUAAACGGGUGCGAGGUGGAAGGGAGUCGUAUGAAGGUGGAGGCGGCGGAUGGGAUGGCGCGAGGCGGCCGGCGUGGGCGACCGGGUGGCGGUCGCGGCGGCGGCGGCGCACCUGGCACUGGCGCGCGCCCCACGGACUUUCCGUUGCGCUUGCUUGUCCAAAGUGAUAUGGUUGGCGCUAUUAUCGGCCGUCAGGGCAGCACUAUCCGUCUCAUCACUCAGCAAAGUCGUGCUCGUGUCGAUGUCCACCGCAAAGACAACGUUGGUUCACUAGAGAAGGCCAUAACCAUUUAUGGCAACCCAGACAAUUGCACUAAUGCCUGCAAACGAAUAUUGGAGGUGAUGCAGCAGGAAGCAAAUAAUACAAACAAAGGGGAAAUAUGUCUGAAAAUUCUUGCACACAAUAAUUUGAUCGGGCGCAUCAUUGGAAAGGGUGGAAAUACCAUUAAAAGAAUAAUGCAAGAAACUGAUACCAAGAUCACUGUAUCCUCAAUAAACGAUAUCAACAGCUUCAAUUUGGAGCGAAUCAUCACUGUAAAGGGGAGUAUUGAAAAUAUGGCUAAAGCAGAGUCACAAAUAUCAGCAAAACUGCGUCAAAGCUACGAAAAUGAUCUGCAGGUGCUGGCACCGCAGAGUAUAAUGUUCCCGGGUCUGCACCCUAUGGCCAUGAUGUCGACUGGCCGCGGAUUUUGCGGUGCACCGCCGCCCUUCCCACCGCCCAUUUAUGCGCCGCUGGCCGGCCAAGGUGGCGCGCAACAGGGCGCCGGCGACUCGCAAGAGACCACUUACUUGUACAUCCCUAACAACGCGGUGGGCGCUAUCAUCGGCACUAAGGGAUCGCAUAUUCGGAACAUUAUUCGAUUCAGCAAUGCUUCUGUGAAAAUAGCGCCUCUUGAGCAAGAAAAGGGCGCGGAGGGCGGCACCAGCGCGGGCGCAGUGGGUCCUGCUGCAGCUGCGCAACAAGAGCGCAAAGUUACCAUCGUUGGUAGCCCAGAAGCGCAAUGGAAGGCGCAAUAUCUGAUCUUUGAGAAGAUGCGGGAGGAGGGAUUCAUGUCGGGGUCAGAAGAUGUACGGCUGACUGUUGAGAUCGUAGUGGCCUCAUCGCAAGUUGGGCGUAUCAUAGGCAAGGGAGGGCAGAACGUGCGUGAACUCCAGCGCGUCACUGGCUCGUUGAUAAAGUUGCCCGAGCAACCACAGCCGCCGGCCGCCGCAGCUCAUGAUCAUGAGACCACCGUGCACAUCGUUGGACCUUUCUACAGCGUCCAGCAGUCACCCGAAGCGGGAUGAGAGCCCUGUGACGACGUGCGCACAGUGGGUGAUGUCACAAUGAAAUGUCACAUGACGGCCGUCAUGGCAGCACAUUUAACGUUAUCAUCUUUUCGAUAGUCAGCGCAACGGCGCAUUCGUGCGAUGGUGGCGCAGGCGAGCGCCCCAGGUCGUCACCGACGCGCCGCGCCGCCGCCGCCGCCGCCCGCCCAGCAGUAGGCGCCGGUCACACCGACACCACCACCCGCCGCCACCUCUCCGUCGCCACUUCAUAGCCACGGCAACGCCUGCCCCGCUCCGCCUCAGCCCCGAUCCCACCCCGAAUUCCAGACUUAAGGCCCAGCUCAGUUAGCUCUGCCUUGUAGUCCCGCUGUGCGCAGCCUCAAGCGCUUUGAUUUGUUGGCAGCCUGUGUCCAAUGUUGUUGUUGACGUAAUUAUAUUAACGUAGUGAAUUAUAAUUAAAUACUAUUGACGAAUUUUAUCCCGGAAUUAAUGUUGAUGAGUAAUUGGAUAUAUAUUAUGUAUAUUAUAUAUAUUAUUCAUAUACACUAUUUUUUUUAACGAUAGUGACAGUUAUAUGAAUUAGCCGGAAUAUAUUUAAUUGUUAUAUUGUUUUCAUACCAUGUUAUUAUACUGCAUUGUAAAGAGUUUUCACUGAAGGCAAUAGUUGACGAUUAUGUUCUCUAUACAUAUACACAUGUUAGUAGCAAUAGGUAUAGUACAGCACCAUUUUUAUACAAACGAGAUGUAAUACAUAUUUUGUUUUGUUAUGAAAUAAUAGAUUAAUCUGUUGAAACACUACAAUAUACUGUUGAUUUUAGUCGAAAGGGUGUGUGGGUUGCGAACUCUGAUCUGGAAUGGAGAUACACGACAUCGCUUUACUCAUGAGGCUCAACGACAAACUAAAGCUUUGCAACUAUGAAGUAAGGAUAUCCUAAUGUAACACAUUGUGCGCGCGAGCCGAUAGAGGUGCUUGGCCGACCGCCGUCUUAUGGACGGGCUGACCAACUGACUGACUGACCAUAAGACGGACCACGCGACAGACUGACUAGUCGACUAUUUACUCGAAUCAACCAGCGGCGCUGCACUCCACCUGCGAUGGAUAUAAAUAUUUUUGAUAUAGUAGUCAUCGUUGGACGGUAAGGUUUAAAAGGUACGAGUUUUAAUUUGUAAGUGACAUUUGUUGAUCGUUUUCUUUGUAAUUUUGUCUUUGUUAGCUUUAUAACGGUUUUCCUGUAUCGAUGCGACAUUGGCGAUCGUCACACCGAGCCGCACCAGCUCAGCUAGUGCGGAGCGAUGCGGAGCGGUCGUUCGGUUCCACGCGACGAUACGGUUUUAUGCGAGUGUACGAUUUGCGUUAUAAUUGUGCCAAGUGAGAUAUUUAACUAUGAAAGUUUAAGAUUAAGUGAAUGAUAUCAAAAUUGAUGAAAAGCUUAGAUAUUUAUAUUUAUAAUUGUGAUAAUAAUAUAUGGAAGUUUUGGCAAAAAUGUGAGAAUGAUUUAACAUUCUUUUUCCAUUAUCUUAAUUCUUUCGAGCAGGGUUGUAACGCAGUGCAGAACUUCCACAUGACACGUACCUUCGCCUCCAAAAACGGAGUAAACGUAAGGAGGCUCAAUUCGGGUUGUUACCUUCUUAAGAUAACGAGUUGGCCCCGUAGGAUUAAUGCGUUAUUACUCGUUACUCGUUUAGUGUUUAUCGACAGAUAGUGUCUAGAUAAAAUAUUAAAUUAGUUUAUAAUAAUGGUUUUUUAGUAAUAGAGACGGUCUUAAUGUAAAAUUUUAUUAAUUUUUAGAUAGUUAAUAAAUAUUCAAAUAAGUGGCGAUAUAAAAUGUUCUGAAUGCAUACUUUCAAUAUACUUACAUCAACGUAAGUGAAUAGUGUGACGUCAACAAUGUGACGAAUCUUACAAAUUUGAGAUAAUGCAAUGGAUGUGCAACGCCAGCACAAUUCAUAAAAAUAAACUGGGUAAUUCCAUCUUUCCGCGGAGGUCAAAAUUUAAACCUUAUCUUUCUGCUUGUUAAUUAUUUUAUCCGUUAUAACCCUGCUCUCGAGGUUAGAAUAUAUGAAUUAUAUUUUACGGCGCCGUAAACUUGCGCUCGCUCCCAGGUGCAUAAAAUAAUUUUCAUUUCAAAUUGGCCCGCCGCUCCGCCGCGACUCUGAACAACCGAGCGCCUAAGCAGUCAUCGUUUGCCGACCCCACCUGGAUACUUCCACAUAUUAUUUAAAACUAUCUCGCUAUUGGCAUUCAAUUUUCACCGAAUCUACUGUUACCGAACGAUUUAAUGCUUUAACCACGAAGCUAAAUAAUUUUCAUCGAAUAAAAAAAAAUAUGAAUAGCCGUUCUGUGCGAGUUUAUUCUGUACCUUUCUGCAUACCGUACAUUAUGGACCUAUUUAUGACUAGUAUUUUGUAAUCUUUCCCGACUACUUCAUUUACUUUACGAAUUUAAUUAUGUUUACGUGCUUUCGCGUAUUUGUUUAUUCGGAACAUCGCUAAUGUACAUUAUGUACAACGUUUUGACAGUAUUGGCCUUAACGCCGUAUAAAAAAGUGUAGAGAAUGACAGUAGUCUGGUAAUAAAUAAACUUUAUUUUGCCUUAUCAUGACAAUCUGAGAACAUAACGGGCAUCUAUUCAUAAUAUAUAAUUUGAUUUUCAAUAGUAAAAAUAAGUUUAAAACAUUGUUGGCAAAUAGUAUAUUUGAGAUUUUAAUUAAAUUGAAUGAGAAUUAACCGUAUAGAAACGUUCCCCUUUAGUAAAAACCCGCGCCCAAUUUUUAUAUAACACCCUGCACGGUACUUGUAUUUUGAACGCUUUAUGCGUUAUAUUUAACAUUCCAUAUUUUGCUAUCACAUGAAAAAAAUAAAUGAUAACAAUUAUUAAUUAAUUAUUUAAACAUGUUCGUAUAAGAUCUACUGACAUGAUAUUGAGCGCGCGGGGUAGUUACGGUAUUAGUUAAAAAAAAAAAAUAGAUAACUACUACUUCUAUGUUGAACUGGAUUUCUGCGAAGUUAUGUUUGCCCAAGAUUUACGAUCUGUCAUUUAGCUUCUUUUGAAUAGGCUUUUUUUUUUAUUUAAGAAAGCCUCUUUAGCCUAAGUUGAUCCUGUUUGUUUGUAUAAAUACGUCAUAUCAUGUAACAGUUUGUUAAUAUUGGGAAUAUGUUUUGUACUAUAGGCGAGUACUUUAUUGAAUAUUAACAAAGUUUACAUGAUAUGGUCUCUGAUCUUAUUAGCUGCUCAAUUACAGAAUUUAAAAAGUUCCUUAACCUCACUGGGCAUAUUUUGUAAUUGUGUGGCUAAUAAUGCGAUUGAAAUGUAUUAUUAAAAGUAACAAUUCGCGUUAUAGCAAAAGUCCUAAUACCUAGUAGUUACACUAGAUUGUUGAUAGUCUACGUGAUAAAGGGCGCCUGUUUAGAACCAGGUUUAACCGGAACUGACCAGCAAUUGUUUUUUUUUAAAUAUCGAUUCAUUGCAAAAACUUGUCUACACGAUUACCGUGAUUAGAUUUAAUAAUAAACGACAACCCACAAAUAAAUAUAAACCAUGAUAUACUAAGGACAAUAUGUGCGAGCGCGUCGGCCGUUUAUAUUUUAUUUUGCAGUAUCUUAUUCGGUGUAAACGGCCGCUCGACUGCGACCGGAGGAGUGUACAUAUAGGCAUGUCGUUAAUUCCUUCCAUUUGUAAGCAAGAGUAUCAUAAUGUUGCACAUUAUGAUUUGUAAUGUGUUAGGAAGCAGAAAUUAAUAGUUUUAGUUGAUUAUUGUAUCGUUGUGAAGUAGUGUUAAGUUGAGGCAGGCGCGGGCGCGCGGCCCGAGACUGAACUACAUCGCCGCGUUGCCCGCGCCCAGCCAUCUAAAUGUCAUUCUCGCUGGUAAAAAUAUACUUUAUCAUUCUUGUUUGAUGGUUCUACUGUUAUAGACAUUAUAAUAUUCAUUUCUCAUGUGUGUAAUCAAUAUUUUGUGUAUUUGGCGUGUGAUCGACUGAAUUAUCGAUUUCAUUUUAUGUGCAUGAAUGUAUCUUAAAAAUAGUACCUACGCAAAAGGAAUAUACUUGUUUAAUAUUAUAAAAAGAGCGCGGUCGAGCACACGGCAUUCGGCGCCGAGAGCGCAAUGCCCCGUGCGCAGUGCCCGAGGGUCAUGUAUUGGGGAGCUGUUAUUGUUGCUUCUCGUCUGAGUAUAUUAAGGUCCAAUGUACAUUUUAGGAAGGUUGUUUUUUUUUUUAUUCAGUAUCUGUUCGUACUGGACGUUUCUUACAUAUUCAACCAAAUUUUCUUUGAAUUUUUACUGUUAUUUUUAGAACCAUUUAUAAUUGGUAUAAGUUCAGAAACUAAUAACUACCUCAAUAUUACUAAAUGAAUAUGAUAAUUAUCUUUGUGCAUGUUUUUGGGAACUGAAUUUAAAAAAAUACAAAAAUUCAAUAUAGUAUAAGAAUGCUAUUUUAAACAAUAAUGGAAAAUUGUCAAAUUUAGGUUUCUUAACGUAAUAAAAAUUGAUGAAAAUUUUA
RNA transcript from Vanessa atalanta (red admiral), 6620 nucleotides. It is a transcript of the gene named insulin-like growth factor 2 mRNA-binding protein 1, with no coding region annotated. The record is from RefSeq and is a predicted model, not a curated record. The transcript is spliced from 8 exons. NCBI's taxonomy places the organism in Eukaryota, Metazoa, Arthropoda, Insecta, Lepidoptera, Nymphalidae.